RNAcentral lists this ribosomal RNA (370 nucleotides) under Alexandrium margalefii. Its description in RNAcentral is "partial Bacterial large subunit ribosomal RNA". It matches the Rfam family "Bacterial large subunit ribosomal RNA", at positions 1926 to 2295 of the family's 2925-position model. The record is from RNAcentral. Lineage: Eukaryota; Dinophyceae; Gonyaulacales; Pyrocystaceae.
AAUGUCGGCCGUAACUAUAACGGUCCUAAGGUAGCGAAAUUCCUUGUCGGGUAAGUUCCGACCUGCACGAAUGGUGUAACGAUCUGGGCACUGUCUCAGCCAUGAGCUCGGUGAAAUUGUAGUAUCGGUGAAGAUGCCGAUUACCCGCAACGGGACGGAAAGACCCCGUGAACCUUUACUAUAGCUUCACAGUGGACUUUGAAUUUAUUUGUGUAGGAUAGGUGGGAGACUUUGAAGUGUUGGCGCUAGCUGGCAUGGAGUCGCCCUUGAAAUACCACCCUGAUAACUUUGAGGUUCUAACUUAGACCCCUUACCGGGGUUGAGGACAUUGUGUGGUGGGUAGUUUGACUGGGGCGGUCUCCUCCCAAAG